GCAGAUUAUGAGCUUACGGAAAGCCUGGCCUACAUUUUACUCUUUUUGGAUUUCUUCCUCAUCAAGAGACUGCUGCAGUGCCUGUCAUGUGACAGCGGCAUGGACAUAUGCCCCAGGCUUUCCUGCUGGGGUCCAUCCAUGAGCCUGCAGGUGCCCUGAUGGAGCCCCAGCCCUGCCCUGGAAGCUUGGCUGAGAGCUUCCUGGAGGAGGAGCUUCGGCUCAAUGCUGAGCUGAGCCAGCUGCAGUUUUCGGAGCCUGUGGGCAUCAUCUACAAUCCCGUGGAGUGCCCUUUGGGGAAGUAAGCAUGGUCCGGGACUGGUUGGGCAUUGUGGGGCCUGUGCUGACCCCUCCCCAAGAGCAUCCUAAACGACCAGUGCUGGGACUGGAGUGCCCACAGUCAGAAGUGAGUGGUGCCCGAUUCUGGGGCUUUUUCCGGAACCUCUGUGGACAGCCUGAGGUCUUCUUCCAUCACUGUUUUGUCCACAAUCUAUGCCCUCUGCUUUUCCUGGCUCCCAGCGGGCGCAACCUUACUCCUGCUGAGCUGCCUGCCAAGCAGCGAGAACAGCUUCUUGGGAUCUGUGAUGCAGCCCUCUGCCGGCAGGUGCAGCUACUGGGGGUGCGGCUGGUGGUGGGAGUUGGGCGACUGGCAGAGCAGCGGGCACGACGGGCUCUGGCAGGCCUGAUGCCAGAGGUCCAGGUGGAAGGGCUCCUGCAUCCCUCUCCCCGUAACCCACAGGCCAACAAGGGCUGGGAGGCAGUGGCCAAGGAAAGAUUGAAUAAGCUGGGGCUGCUGCCACUGCUGUUGAAAUGAGUGCCCUUGGGGCCUUGCAUGGGACACAUUCAAGACCUUGAAGUCAUUCUUGGCCAAGCAGAUGGCAACACAUCUCCUGGACUGGAGCAAAAGGUCCUUCUGUGCACCCUGGUCACUGGGAAACGUAUUCUUUGAUCUGUUGAACUGUCUUCCAACCUGCCAUGGCAGUUUUGACACUACUCCUGUUUGUCCUCCUGAUUCCUGCUUUCUUUACCUUUUAACAUUGCCCCUUUCAGGGGACCCCACUUUGUAGGGAAUCCGCAGAAGGUGUGCUUUUGCACUUGCAGACUGCUGUACCUCAGUGUUUCCUUGGGAGACUUUAUUCAGCUGAGAGUACCCUAAACAGUAACUUCUAAGGUCACGUUUACUAUUUCAGAGGAAAUAUCUUGCCAGGAUACCUACCCAUCCUUAUAGAACAGCUGCCUUUAGCUGACCCCUUUCCUCACAGGGACCAAGACAAAGCAUGGGACAUGAAAUUAAGAGUGAACUUCUUAUGGGAGGCUGCAGCUGGAUCAGAGGAAAAAUCCAGUGUGGCAGAGUGAAAGUCAGAAGACCUGGCUUUUCAUCCCAGCUUUGAAACUUGGAACUUUUUGAUUGACAAAUUAAUAAAC
This 1422-nucleotide small RNA is filed under the name Pan troglodytes (chimpanzee). Its description in RNAcentral is "processed transcript". The record is from RNAcentral. Lineage: Eukaryota; Metazoa; Chordata; Mammalia; Primates; Hominidae.